UGACGCUGUGGCCGCCGGUAGGGCAUAGGUUUGCAAAACCGAAGUUGAGGGUUCGAAUCCCUCCAGUGUCAU
This 72-nucleotide transfer RNA is filed under the name Roseburia faecis. RNAcentral's name for it is "tRNA-Cys(gca)". It matches the Rfam family "tRNA". Rfam says of the family: Transfer RNA (tRNA) molecules are approximately 80 nucleotides in length. Their secondary structure includes four short double-helical elements and three loops (D, anti-codon, and T loops). Lineage: Bacteria; Bacillati; Bacillota; Clostridia; Lachnospirales; Lachnospiraceae. The record is from RNAcentral.